AUGACCGCUAGCGGAGGCUUAACAAUGCAAGCCGAGCGGAUUUGUUGGUUAGCUUGCUAACUGAUAAUAGACGGCGUACGGGUGCGGAACAUGUGUGCAAUCUGCCCUUAUCAAGGGGAUAGCCCAGAGAAAUCUGGAUUAAUACCCUAUAACAUAUGGGAUGGCAUCAUUUCAUAUUAAAAGCUACGGCGGAUAAGGAUGAGCACGCACAAGAUUAGCUAGUUGGUAAGGUAACGGCUUACCAAGGCGACGAUCUUUAGGGGGCCUGAGAGGGUGAUCCCCCACACUGGGACUGAGACACGGCCCAGACUCCUACGGGAGGCAGCAGUGAGGAAUAUUGGACAAUGGGUGGAAGCCUGAUCCAGCCAUCCCGCGUGCAGGACGACUGCCCUAUGGGUUGUAAACUGCUUUUAUAUAGGGAUAAACCUACUCUCGUAGAGUAGCAAGGU
This 449-nucleotide ribosomal RNA is filed under the name Bergeyella sp. oral taxon 322. Its description in RNAcentral is "bacterial SSU rRNA". It matches the Rfam family "Bacterial small subunit ribosomal RNA", at positions 29 to 476 of the family's 1533-position model. The record is from RNAcentral. Lineage: Bacteria; Pseudomonadati; Bacteroidota; Flavobacteriia; Flavobacteriales; Weeksellaceae.